UUUUACCUGCACAUUCUCUCCCUAGGUGCACGACAGAGUGAUCCUGGUAAAGGAGGAGCUGCACCUCGUUAUUGACGUGCUGGAAAACAUUAGGGAUCCCAAUCUGUCCGAGCUGCUCGGGAGGCCAUUAGAAAUCCUGAGGCACAUCAGAGAGGACUUGAAGAACUGCACCAGACAUCAGCCUGACAACCAUCAACGCUCCGGGAGGCUGACUAGCUGGCUCCAAAAAUUCCACGCAGCCAAGAAGAUGGAAACUCCAGGGUGCCUGGAAGCAUCUGUGGUCCUCAAUCUCUUCCGACUGCUGAACGAAGACUUGAAGUGCGCAGC
Non-coding RNA from Chelonoidis abingdonii (Abingdon island giant tortoise), 327 nucleotides. Lineage: Eukaryota; Metazoa; Chordata; Testudines; Testudinidae. The record is from RefSeq and is a predicted model, not a curated record.